Nematolebias whitei (Rio pearlfish) is the source of this 128-nucleotide small nucleolar RNA. RefSeq annotates it as small nucleolar RNA SNORA17. Lineage: Eukaryota; Metazoa; Chordata; Actinopteri; Cyprinodontiformes; Rivulidae. The record is from RefSeq and is a predicted model, not a curated record. The transcript has a single exon.
AAUGCCCCUCGAGGCGUUGCAGCUCAGCAGAGUGGCGCUGCGUCAUGAGGAGGCGGAGAGCAUCAGGUGGGGGUCUGCACCGACGCUCUACAACUCGGAGGACUCGAGUCGGUCUCGCCACCAGCAGG